AACGGAUUAUUCUUUAUAGCUUGCUAUGAUAACAAUUAGUGGCAGACGGGUGAGUAAUGCAUAGGAAUCUACCUAGUAGUAUGGGAUAGCCACUAGAAAUGGUGGGUAAUACUGUAUAAUCCCUGCGGGGGAAAGAUUUAUCGCUAUUAGAUGAGCCUAUGUUAGAUUAGCUAAUUGGUAGGGUAAAGGCCUACCAAGGCAGUGAUCUAUAGCUGGUCUGAGAGGAUGAUCAGCCACACUGGAACUGAGAUACGGUCCAGACUCCUACGGGAGGCAGCAGUGGGGAAUAUUGGACAAUGGGCGCAAGCCUGAUCCAGCUAUGCCGCGUGAGUGAGGAAGGCCUUAGGGUUGUAAAACUCUUUCAGUGGGGAAGAUAAUGACGGUACCCACAGAAGAAGUCCCGGCAAACUCCGUGCCAGCAGCCGCGGUAAUACGGAGGGGGCAAGCGUUGUUCGGAAUUAUUGGGCGUAAAGGGCAUGUAGGCGGUUCGGUAAGUUAAAGGUGAAAUGCCAGGGCUUAACCCUGGAGCUGCUUUUAAUACUGCC
This 545-nucleotide ribosomal RNA is filed under the name Anaplasma phagocytophilum. RNAcentral describes it as "bacterial SSU rRNA". It matches the Rfam family "Bacterial small subunit ribosomal RNA", at positions 65 to 637 of the family's 1533-position model. Lineage: Bacteria; Pseudomonadati; Pseudomonadota; Alphaproteobacteria; Rickettsiales; Anaplasmataceae. The record is from RNAcentral.